Molecule: long non-coding RNA, 2600 nt
Filed under: Coffea arabica (coffee)
Lineage: Eukaryota; Viridiplantae; Streptophyta; Magnoliopsida; Gentianales; Rubiaceae
Description: long non-coding RNA (CARA_LNC007377)
Source: RNAcentral
UUGGACUAGCCCAUUCUAUGAAUUCCGACUAGCGUUGGACUAGCGGAAACGUACAUUCAUCCAUCACAUUUAUUCAGGCUAUGGAAAGCGAGUAGACAUGUCAAUCACAUAGCACAUAACACUUAGCAUGCAUAUCUAAAUGCCAAAACCUAAGAAAACGAUUAAACAUAUAACAAAUAGACAUGCAAGACACAUAAGGUGAUUAAGGCCCUAACUAUUACAUUUGCUAACUAGGCACAAGUCUUCAACAGCUCUUCAUCGAAUGCUCCUCCAAACCCUAUCUAUUACAAGCCAAGAGGUGUACACAUACCCCAUAAAGAAUAACUUAAAUAAAAAGCAAAAGUAAAUGACAUAAAUAAAAGAAAUUAAAGAAAGGCUAGGAAAGCAAAGUAGACAUGUAGUUCUCACGUAACACGUUGGUUCACAUAGGAGAGACAAAAAAGAUAAAAGAAGUUAUACCUCCCUUGAGUUGGAGCUCUAACGUAGUGAAAUUACUAAUUUACCCUCCAAAAUAAUAAAAGGGUCAAGGUACCGAUUUAUUUGUAAAAAUUAAAGAAAACAUGCAAACACGGGCUUACAUGGUCAUAAAGCUCUUAAAUUCAUGCAUGAAGUGCAAUUUAAACAAAGCAUAGUAAUUAAUUGAAGCAAACAAGCAAUAAAGCUGUAAAAAUAAAACUACCAAGGACCAAAAUGAAGAGAUUAUUCAAUUGGUUGGGUCAUAGUGGAACAAGGGGAGACUUGGGGGGUUGGAAUGCAAUUUUCUGGAAAUUAUUUCAUGCAGCUCAUGCAAUCCACGUAGAAAGCUUUCUGCAAUUUUUCAGCUAACAUCUUUGCUGCAGUUUCAAAUUCCAAACGCAAGUUUCAAUUUGCAUGCUCAAUUUUGAUCUAAACUUUACCCACCAAACAUCAAAGCUCUAACCCAGCAACCAAAUAUGGAACUUUAACAUCUAAACAAUCAAAACAUUGAAAGAAACUCAUGGAUUCUGCAAACUCACGGCUAUGCAGUCUCAUUCAAUCUCUUACCUAUUUGACCGAAUCUAUAUUCAUGCAAAUAACCCAAGUAUAUCUCUACUCAAAUCAAAAUGCAGAGAUUUGAAGCAAAGGUAGGAGUAGGAUCAAACAGGUUUUUGAACUCAAAAAUGCAACAAAAAUGAUCUGGACAAAAUGCUAACUUUGAGGAAACAAGAUUUUCUGCAAUUUUUCCCAGCCGAGGCCCUUUUCUCUAUCGUGUAAGCCAGAUUUUUAAUUCAAAUACAAAGCUUUGAUUAGAUAUUUCUCAACCCAAUAUCAUAACUCUAACUAAGCAACAAGCUACUUAACUUUAAACUCCAAACAAGCAAGAACAAUAAAGGAACUGAUGCAUCACAGAAAUUCUAGACAAGACAUUCAUGUAGAAUGGUUUAACAAUCUGAAAUUCAUUUUCCAGCAAAGUAUUCGGCCAUAGCUCAUGCAUUUCAGACUUCCAAACUAACGAAAAUCAUGCAACUUAUGCCUUUUAUUUUUUUAACCAAGGACUAAAUACACACAAGAACAGGCAACAGCAAAAGGCAGCAAACCCACGAAGCUUUGAUGUGCUCCUGAGUUCAUUCUCAGCAAGCAUCGCACGAAUUAAGCAAGCAAAGCAACUAACCAUAUCAUGAACUCCAACCAAACUUGCUAAUGAUGUACCAAGAUAGACUUCCUAUGUUUUCUUGCCUAAAACCCAAGUUAAAACAGAACCCAACUCUAGAUCUACACAUGCCAAAAAGUCAGAACAAAGAGCGUGCAAAGCUGGAAACUUUCUGCAACUAUCCGACAUGUGGCUUCAGAUGCAGAAACGAAUGAAUCAGCCAAGGAAAAGUUAUUUCUUUCUCAAAGUUAAAAUCUUUACUACUAAACUACAGUCCGUAGCCUAUUCCAGUUAACACCCAACCCAGCAGCAAUAUUGUGCAAACACGAAAAAACAGCGACCCAGGAACUGAUACAUGUUCAUCGCAGGAUUUCAAGACAUGUUCAUUAUACCAGUAGCCAAAUUUUUCUACGUUUUUGUGUGUCCAUUCUGAUGAUGUAUGAGCAACUAAGGAUACAAAAGAUUACCUUUAACUUCUGGUGGAAACAGGAACACAGAGCGGAUGAAAAGAUUGCUUCCGUUGUAGAGGUUCGAAGCUGCAAAUUCUCGCCGUCGAAGAUUCAAAACUAGUGACGGGCAGACUUAGAGCUGAACUUUGAAGGUCUUGUGGCCGUUUUUAUGGAAGCUACUCAACACCAAAGUUGUCCUUUAAUGAUCAGAGAAGAUGCAGAAAGCAAGAGGUUCCCCAGAAGAGAUCUCUCCGAUGGAGAAAAGCGCACUGCAAGGUGACGGAAAUCCAGCCUUGUUCCCAAGGUUUGUGCAAAAAAUUUUGUUUUCCUUCGUCUCUUUCCCCAGAUUUUCUUUACUCUUCUCGCUUAUUCCUCACUUGGUUCUUCUUUCUUUCCUCAAACCCUCAGUCCGUAGUUACCUCUCUAUCUCUGAUCUUUCUUUGCUUUGUUUUCUCCCGAUUUUCAGCCGCAAACCCUCACUCUCCCUUCGUAGCUCUCUGCCCAGAUUUCAGCCGUCAAUCUUUUAUCCCCUCUGUAUGUUU